Molecule: long non-coding RNA, 371 nt
Filed under: Cervus hanglu yarkandensis (Yarkand deer)
Lineage: Eukaryota; Metazoa; Chordata; Mammalia; Artiodactyla; Cervidae
Description: lncRNA (ENSCHYG00000007092.1)
Source: RNAcentral
AUUUUUCUCUUGGUUUAUGUCUUUAUAAUACAGUGUCAUUAUUAAAAAUGCUGUGGAUCUUAAGUAGAAAAGAAGAUUACCAUCACAGCCUAGGAUGAGGCCAAUCGCAGAGAGAAAGGCUAUGUGCAUCUUCCUGAAGUCAGUGAAUGACGCCAGAUCAUGUCACUGGAUACUCCAGAAAAUGAAUAUGUCCUGAAGUGGAUGGAGUGUGUCAUUAAAUCCCCAAGUAAGAGCCUUGGGGUCAGGAAGAGUCACAACAAACAGAAGCUGUGGUUGACACUGAAAGAAAACCAUAUUCUUGCACUUCAUGUAGACUUAUCCACAAGAACAGGAAACUACAACCCAUUUCCAAACAUCUAGGGAAGUGUAAG